This 278-nucleotide ribosomal RNA is filed under the name uncultured bacterium. RNAcentral's name for it is "partial 16S ribosomal RNA". It matches the Rfam family "Bacterial small subunit ribosomal RNA", at positions 333 to 607 of the family's 1533-position model. The record is from RNAcentral.
CGGGCCCUACGGGGCGCAGCAGUGAGGAAUAUUGGUCAAUGGGCGGAAGCCUGAACCAGCCACGUCGCGUGAGGGAAUAAGGCCCUACGGGUCGUAAACCUCUUUUGCCGGGGAGCAAGGGCGGGGACGUGUCCCGGCCCGGAGAGUACCCGGAGAAAAAGCAUCGGCUAACUCCGUGCCAGCAGCCGCGGUAAUACGGAGGAUGCGAGCGUUAUCCGGAGUUAUUGGGUUUAAAGGGUGCGUAGGCGGAGUUUUAAGUCAGCGGGAAAAUGUCCGGG